UUCCUGGCGGCUCAGAGGUCAAAGCGUCUGCCUGCAAUGCGGGAGACCUGGGUUCAAUCCCUGGCUCGGAAA
Molecule: transfer RNA, 72 nt
Filed under: Ovis aries (sheep)
Lineage: Eukaryota; Metazoa; Chordata; Mammalia; Artiodactyla; Bovidae
Rfam family: tRNA
About the family: Transfer RNA (tRNA) molecules are approximately 80 nucleotides in length. Their secondary structure includes four short double-helical elements and three loops (D, anti-codon, and T loops). Further hydrogen bonds mediate the characteristic L-shaped molecular structure. tRNAs have two regions of fundamental functional importance: the anti-codon, which is responsible for specific mRNA codon recognition, and the 3' end, to which the tRNAs corresponding amino acid is attached (by aminoacyl-tRNA synthetases). tRNAs cope with the degeneracy of the genetic code in two manners: having more than one tRNA (with a specific anti-codon) for a particular amino acid; and 'wobble' base-pairing, i.e. permitting non-standard base-pairing at the 3rd anti-codon position.
Source: Rfam by way of RNAcentral